UACAGGGGGUGCAACCGUUGCUCGGAAUCAUUGGGCGUAAAGCGCACGUAGGCGGUUCGUUAUGUCGGAUGUGAAAGCCCUUGGCUUAACCGAGGAAGUGCAUCCGAAACUGGCGAGCUAGAGUACGAAAGAGGAUCGCGGAAUUCCCGGUGUAGAGGUGAAAUUCGUAGAUAUUGGGAAGAACACCGGUGGCGAAGGCGGCUCUCUGGACCGUAACUGACGCUGAGGCGCGAAAGCGUGGGGAGCAAACAGG
Molecule: ribosomal RNA, 253 nt
Filed under: uncultured bacterium
Lineage: Bacteria
Description: partial 16S ribosomal RNA
Rfam family: Bacterial small subunit ribosomal RNA
Source: RNAcentral